AGCAGUAGCCGCGGGAAUACAGAGGGUGCGAGCGUUAAUCGGAUUUAUUGGGCGUAAAGCGUGCGUAGGCGGCUUUUUAAGUCGGAUGUGAAAUCCCUGAGCUUAACUUAGGAAUUGCAUUCGAUACUGGGAAGCUAGAGUAUGGGAGAGGAUGGUAGAAUUCCAGGUGUAGCGGUGAAAUGCGUAGAGAUCUGGAGGAAUACCGAUGGCGAAGGCAGCCAUCUGGCCUAAUACUGACGCUGAGGUACGAAAGCAUGGGGAGCAAACAGGAUUAGAGACCCCCGUAGUCCCUGUCUCUUAUAC
Molecule: ribosomal RNA, 303 nt
Filed under: uncultured bacterium
Lineage: Bacteria
Description: partial 16S ribosomal RNA
Rfam family: Bacterial small subunit ribosomal RNA
Source: RNAcentral